This 497-nucleotide ribosomal RNA is filed under the name uncultured bacterium. RNAcentral describes it as "partial 16S ribosomal RNA". It matches the Rfam family "Bacterial small subunit ribosomal RNA", at positions 28 to 507 of the family's 1533-position model. The record is from RNAcentral.
GACGAACGCUGGCGGCGUGCCUAAUACAUGCAAGUUGAGCGCUGAAGGUUGGUACUUGUACCAACUGGAUGAGCAGCGAACGGGUGAGUAACGAGUGGGGAAUCUGCCUUUGAGCGGGGGACAACAUUUGGAAACGAAUGCUAAUACCGCAUAAAAACUUUAAACACAAGGUUUAAGUUUGAAAGAUGCAAUUGCAUCACUGAAAGAUGAUCCCGCGUUGUAUUAGCUAGUUGGUGAGGUAAAGGCGCACCAAGGCGAUGAUACAUAGCCGACCUGAGAGGGUGAUCGGCCACAUUGGGACUGAGACCCGGCCCAAACUCCUACGGGAGGCAGCAGUAGGGAAUCUUCGGCCAUGGACGAAAGUCUGACCGCGCAACGCCGCGUGAGUGCAGAAGGUUUUCGGAUCGUAAAACUCUGUUGGUAGAGAAGAACGUUGGUGAGAGUGGAAAGCUCAUCAAGUGACGGUAACUACCCAGAAAGGGACGGCUAACUACGUG